This 256-nucleotide long non-coding RNA is filed under the name Daucus carota (carrot). Its description in RNAcentral is "long non-coding RNA (DCAR_LNC001358)". Lineage: Eukaryota; Viridiplantae; Streptophyta; Magnoliopsida; Apiales; Apiaceae. The record is from RNAcentral.
GGGAGGGUUCUGGUACAAACUUACAAACUUACAAACUUUUUUUGUUCAACGCAUAUAUAACUUGAGUUCAACAUUUUUUCAACAUUUUUUGUUGAACAUUGACUAAAAUAGUGGUGGAGAAGUACAUAAACCAAUUUUUAAAUGUAAGAACUAAGGUAAACAUGUUAUAUAACUAAUAUUUAUGUUUUUAGACCCUACCCAAACCCUAGAGGUAUAGUUUAAACAUAUUUUUAGAUAUAUUCAACACAAUGAUAAU